RNAcentral lists this long non-coding RNA (551 nucleotides) under Fukomys damarensis (Damara mole-rat). RNAcentral's name for it is "lncRNA (ENSFDAG00000030622.1)". The record is from RNAcentral. Lineage: Eukaryota; Metazoa; Chordata; Mammalia; Rodentia; Bathyergidae.
GGGCGCUGGCCCGCCGUGACAGCCCCGCGCUCCAGACCCCAGCGAUCCCGGACCGCAGCCGCCACGUUUGAGGACACCGGGCUGCAAGGAGCCUUGCAGAGCAAAGGAAAGGUUUGGACAGAAACGCCCGAGAGCUGCGUGGAGUGACUGCCGACGUGCGUGGGCACUUUUCCGUGUUUCGUCCCAGAGUUCUUGAUCGUGCUCACCCGAAGCUCCCUGUGAAGCCCAGGUGCUGCGCAGGGCUGACCCCGUUAUCUACGCUAUGGUCGCACCCCCACCGCGCGGGGCAUCGUGGACGCGGGAAGAAAUCAAAGGGGAUUUUCUGCCGGGAGUCCUCCCGCGGUGCUGCUGUGCUUAUGCAGUUAGCGUGCCCCUGUUCUUUGCUUUCUGGUGACCAGCAAAAGCUAGUAUUCAUAUUCCGAAAUGUCCUCCUACCUUCCUUGGUCUCACCUUUCGUAGGAGUAGGGUGUGACAGCUCAGUGAAGUAAAAGGCCUCUGUACAAAGAGUUUGGUUUCAGAUUACAUUUGCAUCCUGAUCCAAUUCCACCCAG